UGGGGAAUCUUCCGCAAUGGGCGAAAGCCUGACGGAGCAAUGCCGCGUGAGUGAUGAAGGAAUUCGUUCCGUAAAGCUCUUUUGUUUAUGACGAAUGUGCAGAUUGUAAAUAAUGAUCUGUAAUGACGGUAGUAAACGAAUAAGCCACGGCUAACUACGUGCCAGCAGCCGCGGUAAUACGUAGGUGGCGAGCGUUGUCCGGAAUUAUUGGGCGUAAAGAGCAUGUAGGCGGUUUUUUAAGUCUGGAGUGAAAAUGCGGGGCUCAACCCCGUAUGGCUCUGGAUACUGGAAGACUUGAGUGCAGGAGAGGAAAGGGGAAUUCCCAGUGUAGCGGUGAAAUGCGUAGAUAUUGGGAGGAACACCAGUGGCGAAGGCGCCUUUCUGGACUGUGUCUGACGCU
RNAcentral lists this ribosomal RNA (400 nucleotides) under uncultured bacterium. Its description in RNAcentral is "bacterial SSU rRNA". It matches the Rfam family "Bacterial small subunit ribosomal RNA", at positions 355 to 747 of the family's 1533-position model. The record is from RNAcentral.